UGGGGGAUAUUGCACAAUGGGCGAAAGCCUGAUGCAGCGACGCCGCGUGGGGGAUGAAGGCUUUCGGGUUGUAAACCUCUUUCGCUAUCGAACAAGGCCCGCUUAGGGUGGGUUGAGGGUAGGUGGAGAAGAAGCGCCGGCUAACUACGUGCCAGCAGCCGCGGUAAUACGUAGGGCGCGAGCGUUGUCCGGAAUUAUUGGGCGUAAAGGGCUUGUAGGCGGCUUGUUGCGCCUGCUGUGAAAACGCGGGGCUUAACUUCGCGCGUGCUGUGGGUACGGGCAGGCUUGAGUGUGGUAGGGGUGACUGGAAUUCCAGGUGUAGCGGUGGAAUGCGCAGAUAUCUGGAGGAACACCGAUGGCGAAGGCAGGUCACUGGGCCAUUACUGACGCUGAGGAGCGAAAGCAUGGGUAGCGAACAGG
This 420-nucleotide ribosomal RNA is filed under the name bacterium. Its description in RNAcentral is "partial 16S ribosomal RNA". It matches the Rfam family "Bacterial small subunit ribosomal RNA", at positions 355 to 776 of the family's 1533-position model. The record is from RNAcentral.